AUUGAACGCUGGCGGCAGGCUUAACACAUGCAAGUCGAGCGGAGAGAGGUAGCUUGCUACUGAUCUUAGCGGCGGACGGGUGAGUAAUGCUUAGGAAUCUGCCUAUUAGUGGGGGACAACAUUUCGAAAGGAAUGCUAAUACCGCAUACGUCCUACGGGAGAAAGCAGGGGAUCUUCGGACCUUGCGCUAAUAGAUGAGCCUAAGUCGGAUUAGCUAGUUGGUGGGGUAAAGGCCUACCAAGGCGACGAUCUGUAGCGGGUCUGAGAGGAUGAUCCGCCACACUGGGACUGAGACACGGCCCAGACUCCUACGGGAGGCAGCAGUGGGGAAUAUUGGACAAUGGGCGCAAGCCUGAUCCAGCCAUGCCGCGUGUGUGAAGAAGGCCUUAUGGUUGUAAAGCACUUUAAGCGAGGAGGAGGCUACUUUAGAUAAUACCUAGAGAUAGUGGACGUUACUCGCAGAAUAAGCACCGGCUAACUCUGUGCCAGCCGCCGCAGUAA
Molecule: ribosomal RNA, 501 nt
Filed under: uncultured bacterium
Lineage: Bacteria
Description: partial 16S ribosomal RNA
Rfam family: Bacterial small subunit ribosomal RNA
Source: RNAcentral